RNAcentral lists this ribosomal RNA (429 nucleotides) under Gemmatimonadota bacterium. Its description in RNAcentral is "Gemmatimonadetes bacterium partial 16S ribosomal RNA". It matches the Rfam family "Bacterial small subunit ribosomal RNA", at positions 355 to 776 of the family's 1533-position model. Lineage: Bacteria; Pseudomonadati; Gemmatimonadota. The record is from RNAcentral.
UAGGGAAUCUUCGGCAAUGGACGAAAGUCUGACCGAGCAACGCCGCGUGAGUGAAGAAGGUUUUCGGAUCGUAAAACUCUGUUGUUAGAGAAGAACAAGGACGUUAGUAACUGAACGUCCCCUGACGGUAUCUAACCAGAAAGCCACGGCUAACUACGUGCCAGCAGCCGCGGUAAUACGUAGGUGGCAAGCGUUGUCCGGAUUUAUUGGGCGUAAAGCGAGCGCAGGCGGUUUCUUAAGUCUGAUGUGAAAGCCCCCGGCUCAACCGGGGAGGGUGAUUGGAAACUGGGAGACUUGAGUGCAGAAGAGGAGAGUGGAAUUCCAUGUGUAGCGGUGAAAUGCGUAGAUAUAUGGAGGAACACCAGUGGCGAAGGCGGCUCUCUGGUCUGAAACAGAAGCUGAGGCUCGAAAGCGUGGGGAGCAAACAGG